Acanthaster planci (crown-of-thorns starfish) is the source of this 253-nucleotide long non-coding RNA. The record is from RefSeq and is a predicted model, not a curated record. NCBI's taxonomy places the organism in Eukaryota, Metazoa, Echinodermata, Asteroidea, Valvatida, Acanthasteridae.
UGGUUAUUGUCAAAUCGGCUGGAGAAAUUGAUAGAUAUUGGGAUUGCUAUAUAGAAGGCACUUUCAAGUCGUCUUGAUGUCACAAGCUGCUUGUAACUCCCCUGAACGUUGGUUCAACCUUCGUUGGUGAUCCCCUAGUGAUGUCUCUGCCUGCUCAGCUAGCAAUCUGCAACCCAACACAGGAUCAAGAGCCUGGGAGCGGACCUGUUCCUCCAGAGUGGAUAUCAUAGCCUGGAAUGACUGGACCCUGGAU